Molecule: ribosomal RNA, 447 nt
Filed under: uncultured bacterium
Lineage: Bacteria
Description: partial 16S ribosomal RNA
Rfam family: Bacterial small subunit ribosomal RNA
Source: RNAcentral
AGUGAACGCUGGCGGCAGGCUUAACACAUGCAAGUCGAACGCACCGCAAGGUGAGUGGCAGACGGGUGAGUAACGCGUGGGAACCUUCCCUUUGGUUCAGGAUAGCUCCGGGAAACUGGAAUUAAUACUGGAUAAGAUCUACGGAUGAAAGAUUUAUCGCCGAAGGAUGGGCCCGCGUAAGAUUAGCUAGUUGGUGAGGUAAUGGCUCACCAAGGCAAUGACCUUUAGCUGGUCUGAGAGGAUGAUCAGCCACACUGGAACUGAGACACGGUCCAGACUCCUACGGGAGGCAGCAGUGAGGAAUACUGGACAAUGGGCGCAAGCCUGAUCCAGCCAUGCCGCGUGAGUGAUGAAGGCCUUAGGGUUGUAAAACUCUUUUAGUAAGGAAAAUAAUGAUGGUACCUACAGAAAAAGCUCCGGCUAACUUCGUGCCAGCAGCCGCCGUAA